RNAcentral lists this non-coding RNA (29 nucleotides) under Mus musculus (house mouse). Lineage: Eukaryota; Metazoa; Chordata; Mammalia; Rodentia; Muridae. The record is from RNAcentral.
UGUGGAAAACACCUUGAAGGUGCUUGCAG